Molecule: ribosomal RNA, 440 nt
Filed under: uncultured bacterium
Lineage: Bacteria
Description: partial 16S ribosomal RNA
Rfam family: Bacterial small subunit ribosomal RNA
Source: RNAcentral
CCUACGGGAGGCAGCAGUAGGGAAUAUUGCUCAAUGGGGGAAACCCUGAAGCAGCAACGCCGCGUGGAGGAUGAAGGUUUUCGGAUUGUAAACUCCUUUUGUUAGAGAAGAUAAUGACGGUAUCUAACGAAUAAGCACCGGCUAACUCCGUGCCAGCAGCCGCGGUAAUACGGAGGGUGCAAGCGUUACUCGGAAUCACUGGGCGUAAAGAGCGCGUAGGCGGGAUAGCAAGUCAGAUGUGAAAUCCUAUGGCUUAACCAUAGAACUGAAUUUGAAACUGUUAUUCUAGAGUAUGGGAGAGGUAGGUGGAAUUCUUGGUGGAGGGGUAAAAGCCGUAGAGAUAAAGAGGAAUACUCAUUGCGAAGGCGACCUGCUAGAACAUAACUGACGCUGAUGCGCGAAAGCGUGGGGAGCAAACAGGAUUAGAUACCCUUGUAGUC